RNAcentral lists this ribosomal RNA (468 nucleotides) under uncultured bacterium. RNAcentral describes it as "partial 16S ribosomal RNA". It matches the Rfam family "Bacterial small subunit ribosomal RNA", at positions 28 to 507 of the family's 1533-position model. The record is from RNAcentral.
GAUGAACGCUGGCGGCGUGCUUAACACAUGCAAGUCGAACGGAAAGGCCAGUGCUUGCACUGGUACUCGAGUGGCGAACGGGUGAGUAACACGUGGGUGAUCUGCCCUGUACUUCGGGAUAAGCUAGGGAAACUGGGUCUAAUACCGGACAGGACAACUUUUCGGAUAUUGUUGUGGAAAGCUUUUGCGGUAUGGGAUGAGCUCGCGGCCUAUCAGCUUGUUGUUGGGGUAAUGGCCUACCAAGGCGUCGACGGGUAGCCGGCCUAAGAGGGUGUACGGCCACAUUGGAACUGAGAUACGGCCCAGACUCCUACGGGAGGCAGAAGGGGCGAAUAUUUCACAAUGGGAGCAAGCCUGAUGCAGCGAGGCCGCGUGGGGGAAGAAGGCCUUUGGGUUGUAAACUCCUUUCGCUAGGGACGAGUCUUUUUUGUGACGGUACCUGGAGAGAAAGCACCGGCUAACUACGUG